CUCAUUUCGAGAAUAUUAGAAAAAUAGAGAAAAGCAUAAAGAAAAGAAGAAACCUUCUCCAGUCUCCCACUGCGCUGAGUCAAACGAGGCUUUGGGGGAAGUAGCCCUUUGAAUGAGGAAGGCCUCUGACAUGUCAGUUUUGGCAUUUGGAACAACUUUUCUAGAAGGAACUUGCUAUGUGAGCUAGCUGCAAACACUCGGGAAAACCUUUUCACCAGCAGGUUAUAAGGAUCCCAUCCAGGACGCCACAUUACAUUUUGUCCCCAGGCCUCCUUAGGAUCCUCCCUACUGUGGCAGUUUCUCUGACUUCCUUGUUGUCGAUGGCUGUGAUGGUUCUGAGCAGUGCCGGUCAAGUGUUGGGGGAAGUAUCCGAUGAUUUUUCUCACAAUUAGACUAAAGCUCAACCCUCGCUUUUGAUGGUGACAGGGAGCUCUUGCAAGGCAGGUGUAAAGCCAACAGGGACAUCUUCGUUGCUUCCACCAUUAUUUGGCAGAAUUCUAUACUAGGUCAAAUUUUUCUCUUACAUCUUUGCUUCUUUUCAGAAGGAAAAGGAGACUCCUGUUUUGUGGUUGUGCUGAGUCAUGUGGUUCCAAUGAAAAGGAGUCAUCUUAACCCAGGCUCCCUGCUGGUGAGGGGGCCUAUGCUGGGCCCCAUAUUUCAGGGUCACAGAUUGUUUUUGGGUCCUUCAGCCCUCCUGCCUGGCCUUGUUAGUCACUUUUAAGACGGGGACCCUGAAGCCCAGGUCCCGUGCAUGGCCGGCUGCUUCCCAGCUCCCAGUGCUAGGCUCUGUCUCUGCAACUAUCCGUCUCUGCUCUCUCUGUGGAGGCCUCUCCUCAGCCCUGAUCACGCACAUCUGCAGAAGCUUCCUCUGGUGCUAUCCUUGUAGGUGGACCCCCAUCCCAGGCAAUAGACCACACCAUCGGAUGGAUCCUUCCAGGCCAGCCUGGGGACACAUUCAUUUGAUCUUCCCAGGGAGGACUCCAGUCCUAAAGGUGUUUACACACCAGAGAAGUGCUUGAGAUGCGGUCUUGAGAUGAUAAAAAUACACACAACCUUUUAAAACCAUGGCAACACAAGAGGCAGGAAUGCUGCCAAUUAAAAAGCAUUUAAAAUAUGGCUCCAGGCUGCAGGUUUGGAAAUAAAGUAGAUGAGGGAAACGGAUGGCAUAGAGUCCUGCCUUCAUGCUCGCCUGCACUGUGGCCCAGGUGAGAGCCCCAUCGAGCUCCAAGCCCAGCCCCCUAUAAAUAUCGCUCAUGAGUGAAGAAGGGGUUAGUAUAGGCACAGCCCCUACUUCCAAUCCCUCCUCUCCUUCGGUCUGGAUGGGCAGGGGGCUAACAGCUUCCCAACUGUUCUAGUACCAUGUUGAGUCACUGAUCUCAAUUCUCCACCUUUGGCUGUACCCACACCCUUAGCCGUGUGAUUUUGCAGAUCUCCCUACAGUUUUCAGAAGGGAACACUUCUCUGUCCUGAGACUUUGGGCUUGGCCAGGGAUCUUAGCAGAGUGACGCAUACAGCGGUUUGAAAUGUGCUGGUAUGAUUGGGUGUGACCUCUUGUGCCUCUGCCAUUGCCAGGAGAAGAACAUGCCCCAGCUAGCUUGCUGGUUCCUGGAGGAUGAGAGACAUGUGGCACAGACCUGGACCCAGACGGCAGCCUGGAACCCAAGCCUGCUGAUGCCUGCCAACAUCAGCCGGAACGCCGCUGACCUGCAGUAUGUGACUAGAGGCUCAGGGGUCUGCUGCCGAGGCUUGCAGUCAUUUGGUACCAGCAAUAGCUGGUAGAUAAACAAGUCCCCCUCCUGCGCCUCUUGGACACCUAACACAGGAGGAAGAUUUCUGGGAAGAGGAGGCAUCAUGGGAAACCCUGUCCCAGGAGACCAUUCCUUCCUCAUAGAGAGAGAGACAACAAGCAGGGGGAGCAGCAGGCAGAGGCAGAGGGA
Molecule: long non-coding RNA, 1937 nt
Organism: Ailuropoda melanoleuca (giant panda)
Lineage: Eukaryota; Metazoa; Chordata; Mammalia; Carnivora; Ursidae
Exons: 4
Source: RefSeq, a predicted model, not a curated record